RNAcentral lists this ribosomal RNA (320 nucleotides) under uncultured Prevotella sp. RNAcentral's name for it is "partial 16S ribosomal RNA". The record is from RNAcentral. Lineage: Bacteria; Pseudomonadati; Bacteroidota; Bacteroidia; Bacteroidales; Prevotellaceae.
GGAGUUUGGACCGUGUCUCAGUUCCAAUGUGGGGGACCUUCCUCUCAGAACCCCUACUGAUCGUAGGCCAGGUGGGCCGUUACCCCGCCUGCAACCUAAUCAGACGCAUCCCCAUCCCAUAGCGAUGAAUCUUUGCUUGACGUUAGAUGUCUGCUGUCAAGAACAUAGGGAAUUAAUCCGACUUUCGCCGGGCUGUGCCCUACUACGGGGAAGGUUGGAUACGCGUUACUCACCCGUGCGCCGGUCGCCAUCUAUCAAAGCAAGCUUCGAUAAUGCUGCCCCUCGACUUGCAUGUGUUAAGCCUGUAGCUAGCGUUCAUC